CUAAAAGAUUAUUAUUAUUAACUGUGCUUAAUCUCCGGAAACGACAAUAGUAUAAAAUUCUCAAACACGGGAAAUUUAACGAUGUCGAAAUCGAAUUUCACGCGCGUAUUUUUUGCAGUAAAACGGAUACGAUUUUCUCCCGUUCCAUUUCCGACCGCAGUUUAUUUUUUUGUGAAAAUGUUCCCUGUACAAUAUAUUAUAUUACUG
Cinara cedri is the source of this 207-nucleotide non-coding RNA. The record is from the annotation of a GenBank genome assembly. NCBI's taxonomy places the organism in Eukaryota, Metazoa, Arthropoda, Insecta, Hemiptera, Aphididae.